CAGUAGCCGCGGUAAUACGUAGGGUGCGAGCGUUAAUCGGAAUUACUGGGCGUAAAGCGUGCGCAGGCAGUUAUAUAAGACAGAUGUGAAAUCCCCGGGCUCAACCUGGGACCUGCAUUUGUGACUGUAUAGCUAGAGUACGGUAGAUGGGGAUGGAAUUCCGCGUGUAGCAGUGAAAUGCGUAGAUAUGCGGAGGAACACCGAUGGCGAAGGCAAUCCCCUGGACCUGUACUGACGCUCAUGCACGAAAGCGUGGGGAGCAAACAGGAUUAGAUACCCCCGUAGUCCCUGUCUCUUAUAC
Molecule: ribosomal RNA, 301 nt
Filed under: uncultured bacterium
Lineage: Bacteria
Description: partial 16S ribosomal RNA
Rfam family: Bacterial small subunit ribosomal RNA
Source: RNAcentral